AUGUGGGGUAUUACAAUUCCUUUGACACAAUAUUCUUGAACUGAUCAGCUUGCCAUGGGGCUAUAAUAGAUUAUCGCAGGGUCCUCUAAAGGAUAUGUACCUUUUGCUGGAUAAAUCAACUAAUAGGUAUGUUAAUCUACACUUCUAGAUGGUGUGAAAGUUGGCUGUACCAAUGAGGGUUCAGUUUUUUUGGUGGAAGUUGUUAUAGAUGAGACUUCCAUGCAAAAAGAUUUUAUUUCAAAGGGGUCAGUUAUCAGGUGCAAAUCUCUAUUGUGAUCUCUAUGCAAAUACUCUUGAAGAUCUGAAUCAUGUGAUGGUGGCUUGUCCAUUUUCCAUUCAUUACUCAGAUCACCCUUGAUCUUCGGGUCAACACCCCGUACCAAACACCCCCUUUAUGGUUAAGGCAAAUGUAGAGAAGUAGGUUCAAGUUAUACAUGCACAUUUGACGUGGUUAUUAUGGUCAAUAAGGAACAGACAAUUAUUUAAAUCUUCUAUCUCAAUGCUAGUAGAUUUGGUGGGACAAACUUUAUCCUUUCUGUUGGUAGGUUGCUUUCAGCAACAACAGGUUGUUAGUAUGGCUCAUUCAGGGC
RNAcentral lists this long non-coding RNA (590 nucleotides) under Elaeis guineensis (African oil palm). RNAcentral's name for it is "long non-coding RNA (EGUI_LNC032985)". Lineage: Eukaryota; Viridiplantae; Streptophyta; Magnoliopsida; Arecales; Arecaceae. The record is from RNAcentral.